CGCCUUGCCAGCCCGCUCAGAAACUUAAAGGAAUUGACGGGGCCCGCACAAGCGGUGGAGCAUGUGGUUUAAUUCGAUGCAACGCGAAGAACCUUAACUGGUCUUGACAUCCCGGAGACCCUUAGGAAACUAGGGGGUGCUUCCAUCUGGAAGAAUCUGGAGACAGGUGCUGCAUGGCUGUCGUCAGCUCGUGUCGUGAGAUGUUGGGUUAAGUCCCGCAACGAGCGCAACCCUUGCCUUUAGUUGCCAGCAGUUCGGCUGGGCACUCUAAAGGGACUGCCGGUGUUAAACCGGAGGAAGGUGGGGAUGACGUCAAGUCCUCAUGGCCUUUAUGACCAGGGCUACACACGUACUACAAUGGCCGAUACAAAGGGCAGCGACACUGCGAGGUGAAGCCAAUCCCGUAAAAUCGGUCUCAGUCCGGAUUGGAGUCUGCAACUCGACUCCAUGAAGUUGGAAUCGCUAGUAAUCGUGGAUCAGCAUGCCACGGUGAAUACGUUCCCGGGCCUU
Molecule: ribosomal RNA, 510 nt
Filed under: uncultured Desulfobulbus sp.
Lineage: Bacteria; Pseudomonadati; Thermodesulfobacteriota; Desulfobulbia; Desulfobulbales; Desulfobulbaceae
Description: bacterial SSU rRNA
Rfam family: Bacterial small subunit ribosomal RNA
Source: RNAcentral